RNAcentral lists this ribosomal RNA (253 nucleotides) under uncultured bacterium. RNAcentral describes it as "partial 16S ribosomal RNA". It matches the Rfam family "Bacterial small subunit ribosomal RNA", at positions 524 to 776 of the family's 1533-position model. The record is from RNAcentral.
UACGGAGGGGGCUAGCGUUGUUCGGAAUUACUGGGCGUAAAGCGCACGUAGGCGGCUUUGUAAGUUAGAGGUGAAAGCCCGGAGCUCAACUUCGGAAUUGCCUUUAAGACUGCAUCGCUUGAAUCAUGGAGAGGUCAGUGGAAUUCCGAGUGUAGAGGUGAAAUUCGUAGAUAUUCGGAAGAACACCAGUGGCGAAGGCGACAUACUGGCUCAUUACUGACGCUGAGGCUCGAAAGCGUGGGGAGCAAACAGG